This 71-nucleotide transfer RNA is filed under the name Loxodonta africana (African savanna elephant). It matches the Rfam family "tRNA". Rfam says of the family: Transfer RNA (tRNA) molecules are approximately 80 nucleotides in length. Lineage: Eukaryota; Metazoa; Chordata; Mammalia; Proboscidea; Elephantidae. The record is from Rfam by way of RNAcentral.
GCAGUGGUGGCUCAAUGGUAGAAUCUUUGCCUUCCAUGCCAGAGACCCAGGUUUGAUUCCUGGCCAGUGCC